This 120-nucleotide ribosomal RNA is filed under the name Hemiboea flaccida. RNAcentral's name for it is "partial 26S ribosomal RNA". It matches the Rfam family "Eukaryotic large subunit ribosomal RNA", at positions 1 to 122 of the family's 3401-position model. Lineage: Eukaryota; Viridiplantae; Streptophyta; Magnoliopsida; Lamiales; Gesneriaceae. The record is from RNAcentral.
ACCCCAGGUCAGGCGGGAUCACCCGCUGAGUUUAAGCAUAUCAAUAAGCGGAGGAAAAGAAACUUACGAGGAUUCCCCUAGUAACGGCGAGCGAACCGGGAAUAGCCCAACUUGAGAAUC